This 253-nucleotide ribosomal RNA is filed under the name uncultured bacterium. RNAcentral's name for it is "partial 16S ribosomal RNA". It matches the Rfam family "Bacterial small subunit ribosomal RNA", at positions 524 to 776 of the family's 1533-position model. The record is from RNAcentral.
UACGGAGGGUGCAAGCGUUAAUCGGAAUUACUGGGCGUAAAGCGCGCGUAGGCGGCUUGUUAAGUCGGGUGUGAAAGCCCCGGGCUCAACCUGGGAAUUGCAUUCGAUACUGUCAAGCUGGAGUCUGGUAGAGGGUAGUGGAAUUCCCGGUGUAGCGGUGAAAUGCGUAGAUAUCGGGAGGAACAUCAGUGGCGAAGGCGGCUACCUGGACCAAGACUGACGCUGAGGUGCGAAAGCGUGGGGAGCAAACAGG